This 44-nucleotide non-coding RNA is filed under the name Schistosoma mansoni. The record is from RNAcentral. Lineage: Eukaryota; Metazoa; Platyhelminthes; Trematoda; Strigeidida; Schistosomatidae.
AUCAGCUGGCGAGUCCCAAACAGGACCAAGCGCGCGUCUUGGAU